GACGAACGCUGGCGGCGUGCUUAACACAUGCAAGUCGAACGGAAAGGCCCUGCUUUUGUGGGGUGCUCGAGUGGCGAACGGGUGAGUAACACGUGAGUAACCUGCCCUUGACUUUGGGAUAACUUCAGGAAACUGGGGCUAAUACCGGAUAGGAGCUCCUGCUGCAUGGUGGGGGUUGGAAAGUUUCGGCGGUUGGGGAUGGACUCGCGGCUUAUCAGCUUGUUGGUGGGGUAGUGGCUUACCAAGGCUUGGACGGGUAGCAGGCCUGAGAGGGUGACCGGACACAUUGGGACGGAGAUACGGCCCAGACUCGUACGGGAGGCAGGAGAGGGGAAUAUUACACAAUGGGCGGAAGCCUGAUGCAGCAACGCCGCGUGCGGGAUGACGGCCAUCGGGUUGUAAACCGCUUUCGCCUGUGACGAAGCGUGAGUGACGGUAAUGGGUAAAGAAGCACCGGCUAACUACGUG
Molecule: ribosomal RNA, 468 nt
Filed under: uncultured bacterium
Lineage: Bacteria
Description: partial 16S ribosomal RNA
Rfam family: Bacterial small subunit ribosomal RNA
Source: RNAcentral